Molecule: ribosomal RNA, 253 nt
Filed under: uncultured bacterium
Lineage: Bacteria
Description: partial 16S ribosomal RNA
Rfam family: Bacterial small subunit ribosomal RNA
Source: RNAcentral
UACGGAGGGUGCAGGCGUUAUCCGGAUUUACUGGGUUUAAAGGGUGUGUAGGCGGGCUUUUAAGUCAGUGGUGAAAUCUCCGGGCUCAACCUGGAAACUGCCAUUGAUACUAUUAGUCUUGAAUAUUGUUGAGGUAGGCGGAAUAAGUCAUGUAGCGGUGAAAUGCAUAGAUAUGACUUAGAACACCAAUUGCGAAGGCAGCUUGCUAAACAAUGAUUGACGCUGAGGCACGAAAGCGUGGGGAUCAAACAGG